AAUAAACGCUGGCGGCGUGCCUAACACAUGCAAGUCGAGCGAGAAAGCUCCUUCGGGAGUUAGUAAAGCGGCGAACGGGUGAGCAACACGUGAGAAUCUACCCUUUAGUGAAGAAUACCCUCGAGAAAUCGAGGCUAAUACUGCAUACGUCCCUUCGGGGAGAAAGAUGGCCUCUUUGCUAUCGCUAAAGGAUGAGCUUGCGUACUAUUAGCUAGUUGGCGGGUAAAGCCCACCAAGGCAAUGAUGGUUAACCGGCCUGAGAGGGUGUACGGUCACACUGGAACUUAGACACGGUCCAGACUCCUACGGGAGGCAGCAGUGAGGAAUCUUGCGCAAUGGGCGAAAGCCUGACGCAGCGACGCCGCGUGGAGGAUGACGGUUUUCG
Molecule: ribosomal RNA, 385 nt
Filed under: uncultured bacterium
Lineage: Bacteria
Description: bacterial SSU rRNA
Rfam family: Bacterial small subunit ribosomal RNA
Source: RNAcentral